AGGCAGCGGACCCCUAUCGAUAUGCAUUCGGAGGCGAUGGCACGGGCUGGGUAUCAACUUGAAUGAACCCGAGCAAUUCGUGACAUUGCUCGAAUCGUUGGGAAUCGAACUCAUUUGCACGUCGGCGGGCAGCCCCUAUUACAACCCGCACAUGAUGCGGCCCGCCGCUUUUCCGCCUUCGGACGGCUACCACCCCCUGAGGAUCCGCUUGUCGGCUGCGCCCGCCAGAUCAAUACGACGGCGCGCCUGAAGGCCAAUCAUCCAAAUUGCUGUUCGUCGGUAGCGGCUACACGUACCUGCAGGAGUGGCUGCCGCACGUCGGUCAGCGCAUGGUUUGCGAUGGCCAUGUCGAUUGCGUCGGUCUCGGACGGAUGGUGCUCGCCUAUCCGGACCUUCCCGCCGACGUACUUGCAGGAAGACCACUCGAACGCAAGCGCUUUUGCCGCACGUUCAGCGAUUGCACGACCGCCCGCGAAAUGGCAUCGUCUCAGGCUGUUAUCCGCUCGAUCCGUUCUACAAGGCGAUGCCGGAACGCAUCGAAUUAGAAGCGAUCAAGAAGAAGUAGAACAAGUUUCCAAUUUGUUCGAUUCAUUGAACAAGUUGGAAACUUGUUCUAUUGGCGCGGUGCAUAGCGCCACACCAGCGCUCCGAGAAUCAGCGCUCCUCCAAUCCACGUUGCGUUUGUUGGCGUGUCCGUCUCCGGUGAAAUCAAGUAGGUCCACAGGGGAUUGAGCAGCGGUUCGAGCAGGACUAUCAUGCCUGCUUCCUGGGGGCUCACGUGCUUCAAGCCACGGGCAAAGAGUGCAUAGGGAAGCGCCAUUUGCACCGCUCCGAAGAACGCCAGAAACACGAUUUGCCGUGCGCUGGGUGUACAAGUCCAGUCCCACCAGAACGCGGGUCCGUGAAUUACCAGGAUCGCGGUACCUAAACACAGUGCGGUGCCGAGGUGAUUCUGAGUGCGUGAGCCACAUCGACGAAUGCCCCUUCAAUUCUCGCAGGCACAGGAUCACGCCUCCGUACAUCAUGCUGCUGCCGAUCGCCAUCGCGGUAAUCGCGACUUGAUCGCCGCCUAACCCCUGCCCCGCGAUGCCGUGUCCGACAAUGACGCCGACGCCCGCCAUGCCGAUAAUAAGCGAUUGCAAUGUGCGCCGAUCGUGCCGUUCGCCCAGAAUAUAAACGCACACGAGAUACACCCACAAAGGCGCGGUGUUUUGCAGCAGGAUCGCAUUCGCCGCCGGACCGAGCACCAUAGCUGAGACGAAUAGGGCAUUCAUGGCCGCGAAGAAGGCGACCAUAAGCAACAUGACCGGUCGAAACGUCAGAUCGCGAGUCCGUAGCAAGGGAAGGAAUACGAGGCCCGCGAAAAAAGCUCGAUAAAAGGCGAUCUGAAGGGACGACAGGACCGGCGUAUGUAAGCCGAG
RNAcentral lists this unclassified non-coding RNA (1421 nucleotides) under uncultured fungus. RNAcentral describes it as "sequence contains 18S rRNA gene, ITS1, 5.8S rRNA gene, ITS2, 28S rRNA gene". Lineage: Eukaryota; Fungi. The record is from RNAcentral.